Molecule: ribosomal RNA, 259 nt
Filed under: uncultured bacterium
Lineage: Bacteria
Description: partial 16S ribosomal RNA
Rfam family: Bacterial small subunit ribosomal RNA
Source: RNAcentral
GUCCACGCCCUAAACGAUGUCAACUGGUUGUUGGGUCUUCACUGACUCAGUAACGAAGCUAACGCGUGAAGUUGACCGCCUGGGGAGUACGGCCGCAAGGUUGAACUCAAGGAAUUGACGGGACCCGCACAAGCGGUGGAUGAUGUGGUUUAAUUCGAUGCAACGCGAAACCUUACCCACCUUUGACAUGUACGGAAUCCUUUAGAGAUAGAGGAGUGCUCGAAAGAGAGCCGUAACACAGGUGCUGCAUGGCUGUCGU